Molecule: transfer-messenger RNA, 391 nt
Filed under: bovine gut metagenome
Rfam family: transfer-messenger RNA
About the family: Bacterial tmRNA, also known as 10Sa RNA or SsrA, is named for its dual tRNA and mRNA-like properties. Its role is to liberate the mRNA from a stalled ribosome.
Source: RNAcentral
GGGGCCGUCUGGUUUUGACAGCAAGUUCGGGGGGAUGUAAGCAGGUCGGAAUUUGUGGGCUGAUUCCGUCAAAAAUUAACCCUCAAUGCCAAAUAAAUGGCGAAACUUCAUACGCAUUCGCAGCGUAAGCUAGCGAAUUCCGCCGCACGGACAAGGUCCGCAGCCGCGGGUGCUCCCCCGGAAGUUUUUCGGCUCAACGUCCGGACCGGAGUAUCAUAAAAGGGCUGAUAGCCAAGGUCGCGCUUCGAGGCUGAGGCGAAAUUUUAGAAGAUAAGCGCCUGCCAGGUGUGUCCCGUACCAUGCAGGCGCCGACAACCAAACGGAGACUAAACUUGUAGAAAGCAUUCUUGCGGCGUGUUUGGACGAGGGUUCGACUCCCUCCGGCUCCACA